GCUCAACCGUGGAGGGUCAUUGGAAACUGGGAAACUUGAGUGCAGAAGAGGAAAGUGGAAUUCCAUGUGUAGCGGUGAAAUGCGCAGAGAUAUGGAGGAACACCAGUGGCGAAGGCGACUUUCUGGUCUGUAACUGACGCUGAUGUGCGAAAGCGUGGGGAUCAAACAGGAUUAGAUACCCUGGUAGUCCACGCCGUAAACGAUGAGUGCUAAGUGUUAGGGGGUUUCCGCCCCUUAGUGCUGCAGCUAACGCGUUAAGCACUCCGCCUGGGGAGUACGACCGCAAGGUUGGAACUCAAAGGAAUUGACGGGGACCCGCACAAGCGGUGGAGCAUGUGGUUUAAUUCGAAGCAACGCGAAGAACCUUACCAAAUCUUGACAUCCUUUGACCACUCUAGAGAUAGAGCUUUCCCCUUCGGGGGACAAAGUGACAGGUGGUGCAUGGUUGUCGUCAGCUCGUGUCGUGAGAUGUUGGGUUAAGUCCCGCAACGAGCGCAACCCUUAAGCUUAGUUGCCAUCAUUAAGUUGGGCACUCUAGGUUGACUGCCGGUGACAAACCGGAGGAAGGUGGGGAUGACGUCAAAUCAUCAUGCCCCUUAUGAUUUGGGCUACACACGUGCUACAAUGGACAAUACAAAG
RNAcentral lists this ribosomal RNA (639 nucleotides) under uncultured bacterium. RNAcentral's name for it is "bacterial SSU rRNA". It matches the Rfam family "Bacterial small subunit ribosomal RNA", at positions 607 to 1244 of the family's 1533-position model. The record is from RNAcentral.